AUUGGCCAUCUUGCGUCCCCACGUGUGUGUACCUAAUCUCAGCUGGUCCACCCGAGACCUCUUGAGCACCAACCCUAGUCCCCCGCACGACCCCUUAUCCGCUCCGACAAGAUGAAAGAAACAAUCAUGAACCAGGAAAAACUCGCCAAACUGCAGGCACAAGUGCGCAUUGGUGGGAAAGGAACUGCUCGCAGAAAGAAGAAGGUGGUUCAUAGGACAGCCACAGCAGAUGAUAAAAAACUUCAGUUCUCCUUAAAGAAGUUAGGGGUAAACAAUAUCUCUGGUAUUGAAGAGGUGAAUAUGUUUACAAACCAAGGAACAGUGAUCCACUUUAACAACCCUAAAGUUCAGGCAUCUCUGGCAGGGAACACUUUCCCCAUUACAGGCCAUGCUGAGACAAAGCCGAUGACAGAAAUGCUACCCAGCCUCUUAAACCAGCUUGGGGCAGACAGUCUGACUAGUUUAAGGAGACUGGCUGAAGCUCUGCCCAAACAAUCUGUGGAUGGAAAAGCACCACUUGCUACUGGAGAAGAGGAGGAUGAAGUUCCAGAUCUUGUGGAGAAUUUUGAUGAGGCUUCCAAGAAUGAGGCAAACUGAAUUGAGUCAACUUCUGAAGAUAAAACUUGAAGAAGUUACUGGGAGCUGCUAUUUUAUAUUAUGACUGCUUUUUAAGAAAUUUUUGUUUAUGGAUCUGAUAAA
Molecule: RNA transcript, 699 nt
Organism: Sapajus apella (tufted capuchin)
Lineage: Eukaryota; Metazoa; Chordata; Mammalia; Primates; Cebidae
Gene name: transcription factor BTF3 pseudogene
Exons: 1
Source: RefSeq, a predicted model, not a curated record